This 253-nucleotide ribosomal RNA is filed under the name uncultured bacterium. RNAcentral's name for it is "partial 16S ribosomal RNA". It matches the Rfam family "Bacterial small subunit ribosomal RNA", at positions 524 to 776 of the family's 1533-position model. The record is from RNAcentral.
UACAGAGGUCUCAAGCGUUGUUCGGAUUCAUUGGGCGUAAAGGGUGCGUAGGCGGCGCGGUAAGUCGGGUGUGAAAUCUCGGAGCUUAACUCCGAAACUGCAUUCGAUACUGCCGUGCUUGAGGACUGGAGAGGAGACUGGAAUUUACGGUGUAGCGGUGAAAUUCGUAGAUAUUCGCAAGAACACCAGUGGCGAAGGCGGCUCACUGGCCCGAUACUGACGCUGAGGCACGAAAGCGUGGGGAGCAAACAGG